GAUGAACGCUGGCGGCGUGCCUAAUACAUGCAAGUCGAGCGAACAGACGAGGAGCUUGCUCCUCUGACGUUAGCGGCGGACGGGUGAGUAACACGUGGAUAACCUACCUAUAAGACUGGGAUAACUUCGGGAAACCGGAGCUAAUACCGGAUAAUAUAUUGAACCGCAUGGUUCAAUAGUGAAAGACGGUUUUGCUGUCACUUAUAGAUGGAUCCGCGCCGCAUUAGCUAGUUGGUAAGGUAACGGCUUACCAAGGCAACGAUGCGUAGCCGACCUGAGAGGGUGAUCGGAGAGAAGGGAAGUGAGACACGGGCGAGACGCGGACGGGAGGCAGCAGUAGGGAAUGUUGCGGAAUGGGGGAAAGGCGGACGGAGCAACAGAGAGGGAGUGAUGAAGGUGUUAGGAUCGUAAAAAUCUGUUGGUGGGGAAGAAGAAAAGUGGAAUUACAUAGGCAGGUCUUGACGGUACCGAAUGAGAAAGCCACGGCUAAAUACGUG
Molecule: ribosomal RNA, 497 nt
Filed under: uncultured bacterium
Lineage: Bacteria
Description: partial 16S ribosomal RNA
Rfam family: Bacterial small subunit ribosomal RNA
Source: RNAcentral